AGGAAAACGGACUUUACCAAACACGAUAUUCUUGUAAAGUUGUUGUGUGUUAUCAGCGUAGAAAGGGCUCCAGCCACAUGUCAUCUCGUACAAAAGUACCCCUAAAGACCAGAAGUCAACCAUCAUAUCAUACCCUGCUUCGUCUAAAAUAACCUCAGGAGCUAGAUAAUCCGUGGUACCGCAAAACGUACGUGUAGUAGUCCCCACUGAAAGAUUGGCCUUUGACAAACCGAAAUCACAUAAGGCAAUAUGUCCU
This is a non-coding RNA of Schizosaccharomyces pombe (fission yeast), 256 nucleotides long. The record is from the annotation of a GenBank genome assembly. Lineage: Eukaryota; Fungi; Ascomycota; Schizosaccharomycetes; Schizosaccharomycetales; Schizosaccharomycetaceae.